UACGUAGGGUGCAAGCGUUAAUCGGAAUUACUGGGCGUAAAGCGUGCGCAGGCGGUUCGGAAAGAAGGAUGUGAAAUCCCAGGGCUUAACCUUGGAACUGCAUUUUUAACUACCGGGCUAGAGUGUGUCAGAGGGAGGUGGAAUUCCGCGUGUAGCAGUGAAAUGCGUAGAGAUGCGGAGGAACACCGAUGGCGAAGGCAGCCUCCUGGGAUAACACUGACGCUCAGGCACGAAAGCGUGGGGAGCAAACAGG
RNAcentral lists this ribosomal RNA (253 nucleotides) under uncultured bacterium. RNAcentral describes it as "partial 16S ribosomal RNA". It matches the Rfam family "Bacterial small subunit ribosomal RNA", at positions 524 to 776 of the family's 1533-position model. The record is from RNAcentral.